Molecule: ribosomal RNA, 384 nt
Filed under: Chrysochromulina sp.
Lineage: Eukaryota; Haptophyta; Prymnesiales; Chrysochromulinaceae
Description: partial small subunit ribosomal RNA
Rfam family: Eukaryotic small subunit ribosomal RNA
Source: RNAcentral
AGCUCCAAUAGCGUAUAUUAAAGUUGUUGCAGUUAGAACGCUCGUAGUCGGAUUUCGGGGCGGUCCGACCGGUCUGCCGAUGGGUACGCACUGGUCGGAGCGUCCUUUUUGCCGGAGACCGUUCCUACUCUUAACUGAGCGGGAGCGGGAGACGGCACUUUUACUUUGAAAAAAUCAGAGUGUUUCAAGCAGGCAGCUCGCUCUUGCAUGGAUUAGCAUGGGAUAAUGAAAUAGGACUUUGGUGCUAUUUUGUUGGUUUCGAACACCGAAGUAAUGAUGAGAAGGGACAGUCAGGGGCACUCGUAUUCCGCCGAGAGAGGUGAAAUUCUCAGACCAGCGGAAGACGAACCACUGCGAAAGCAUUUGCCAGGGAUGUUUUCACUG